UACGUAUGGUGCAAGCGUUAUCCGGAUUUACUGGGUGUAAAGGGAGCGCAGGCGGCACGGCAAGCCUGAUGUGAAAGCCCGCGGCCCAACCGCGGGACUGCAUUGGGAACUACCGGGCUGGAGUGCCGGAGAGGUAGGCGGAAUUCCUAGUGUAGCGGUGAAAUGCGUAGAUAUUAGGAGGAACACCAGUGGCGAAGGCGGCCUACUGGACGGUGACUGACGCUGAGGCUCGAAAGAGUGGGGAGCAAACAGG
RNAcentral lists this ribosomal RNA (253 nucleotides) under uncultured bacterium. RNAcentral describes it as "partial 16S ribosomal RNA". It matches the Rfam family "Bacterial small subunit ribosomal RNA", at positions 524 to 776 of the family's 1533-position model. The record is from RNAcentral.